RNAcentral lists this ribosomal RNA (1446 nucleotides) under uncultured bacterium. RNAcentral's name for it is "bacterial SSU rRNA". It matches the Rfam family "Bacterial small subunit ribosomal RNA". The record is from RNAcentral.
AGAGUUUGAUCAUGGCUCAGGAUGAACGCUGGCGGCGUGCUUAACACAUGCAAGUCGAACGAACCUUCGGGUUAGUGGCGGACGGGUGAGUAACGCGUGAGAAUCUGCCCUCAGGAGGGGGAUAACGGUUGGAAACGACCGCUAAUACCCCAUAUGCCUACUGGUGAAAUGAAUUUCGCCUGAGGAUGAGCUCGCGUCUGAUUAGCUAGUUGGUGAGGUAAUGGCUCACCAAGGCUUCGAUCAGUAGCUGGUCUGAGAGGAUGAUCAGCCACACUGGGACUGAGACACGGCCCAGACUCCUACGGGAGGCAGCAGUGGGGAAUUUUCCGCAAUGGGCGAAAGCCUGACGGAGCAACGCCGCGUGAGGGACGAAGGCCUCUGGGCUGUAAACCUCUUUUCUCAAGGAAGAAGAUAUGACGGUACUUGAGGAAUAAGCCACGGCUAAUUCCGUGCCAGCAGCCGCGGUAAUACGGGAGUGGCAAGCGUUAUCCGGAAUUAUUGGGCGUAAAGCGUCCGCAGGCGGCUUUUCAAGUCUGCUGUUAAAACGUGGAGCUUAACUCCAUCAUGGCAGUGGAAACUGAAAGGCUUGAGUAUGGUAGGGGCAGAGGGAAUUCCCGGUGUAGCGGUGAAAUGCGUAGAUAUCGGGAAGAACACCAGUGGCGAAGGCGCUCUGCUGGGCCAUUACUGACGCUCAUGGACGAAAGCCAGGGGAGCGAAAGGGAUUAGAUACCCCUGUAGUCCUGGCCGUAAACGAUGAACACUAGGUGUCGGGGGAAUCGACCCCUUCGGUGUCGUAGCUAACGCGUUAAGUGUUCCGCCUGGGGAGUACGCACGCAAGUGUGAAACUCAAAGGAAUUGACAGGGGCCCGCACAAGCGGUGGAGUAUGUGGUUUAAUUCGAUGCACGCGAGACCUUACCAGGGUUUGACAUCCUGCGAACCUCUUAGAAAUUUGAGGGUGCCUUCGGGAAUGCAGUGACAGGUGGUGCAUGGCUGUCGUCAGCUCGUGUCGUGAGAUGUUGGGUUAAGUCCCGCAACGAGCGCAACCCACGUUUUUAGUUGCCAGCAUUUAGUUGGGCACUCUAGAAAGACCGCCGGUGAUAAACCGGAGGAAGGUGUGGAUGACGUCAAGUCAUCAUGCCCCUUACACCCUGGGCUACACACGUACUACAAUGCUACGGACAAAGGGCAGCAAACUCGCGAGAGCUAGCAAAUCCCAUAAACCGUGGCUCAGUUCAGAUCGUAGGCUGCAACUCGCCUACGUGAAGUAGGAAUCGCUAGUAAUCGCAGGUCAGCAUACUGCGGUGAAUACGUUCCCGGGCCUUGUACACACCGCCCGUCACACCAUGGAAGUUGGCCAUGCCCGAAGUCGUUACUCCAACCCUUGUGGAGGAGGACGCCGAAGGUGGGGCUAAUGACUGGGGUGAAGUCAUAACAAGGUAACCGUA